RNAcentral lists this long non-coding RNA (468 nucleotides) under Monodelphis domestica (gray short-tailed opossum). RNAcentral describes it as "lncRNA (ENSMODG00000030126.2)". The record is from RNAcentral. Lineage: Eukaryota; Metazoa; Chordata; Mammalia; Didelphimorphia; Didelphidae.
GAAACUCCAUAUUUGACAGAUGAAGAAAUUGUGACUGAAUAAGAGGACCUGGAUCAGUACCCUGUGGGAGACCUAUAUUGUUAGUGGGUGUGAUCUGAAUAAGGAUCUGACAAAGGAGACUGAGAGGGAGCAAACAGGUGUUCCCUGCACUGAUUCUCUAACACAUUUAUGGAUGAAGUCCUGUGCAUAAGGAGAGAACUUAUUAUUGAAUUAAUCAGCAGAUCAUCAGCUCUCCUUCCUUUGCAGUUCUCCACCCCAGCCAUAGCCCUAGAGAGCCAUAGCUUCAUGACCCCUGAAAAAUGAUAUUUAACAAGGGAGGAAUAUAAAAGUCCUACAUGAAUGUGAAGAGUCAACUAAAUCAACUAAAAAAAUGAAGGAUCCAGGAAGCCUACCUAGACAACAAUUGGUAUGAAAAAGAGCUGGGGAUUUUAGAGGACCACAAACUUAAUAAAUUUCCAUACUGUGACA